Molecule: long non-coding RNA, 1001 nt
Filed under: Sus scrofa (pig)
Lineage: Eukaryota; Metazoa; Chordata; Mammalia; Artiodactyla; Suidae
Description: lncRNA (ENSSSCG00005040186.1)
Source: RNAcentral
CUUUAUUCACCUUCCCCGCCCUGUUCUGAGAAUGGCAGACAACGGACACAGAGUCAACUCCAUAAGUCGGCUAUGACUCUCCUUUUGCACCAAGAAAACGCCUGAUGGAUUCUCGCUCUGACUCACCAUCAGUGAGACCCACAGUUGAGGGAAGCAAAGAGUGCAGAACCGUGAAUGCACCUCAAAGCCCUAGUCCAAAGCAGAUGCCAUCACUCCAGCCAGAUUCUCCAGCCAUGCUCCAGUGCCGGCGCCCACAUCACUUCAACCAGGCCUCCCUUCCUAUACUGGUGGCUCUACAGGCGCAGUCCCUGAUAUGAGAGGAAGACAUCUCUUCUGAGUUGCAAGCAGUCCCCUUUCUGGGCUGACCAGCAGAGUCCACCAUUACUGGACUACCCCCAGGCCUGAUGCCCCUUCCAACACCAAGCCUCAGGCCACGCAUCUCCUUCUACUGGCUUCCUCCUGAGUAAGAUUUAUUCUACGUCAACCAAAACUUGCACCUGGUUUACAGAUUUCCACCUCUUUCCAAUUUCUAUCCUUCUUGCUCAUUAUGCUCUUCUGUUACAUAAACUAAGUCUACUUGCUUUAAAUGAUAGCUCAGAGAGAGCAGAUAACUUGCCCAAGACUAUACAGCUAGUAAGUGGCAAAGCUGGGAUUUGAACUCAGCUCUCCUAAAGCCAAGCCCUGUGUUUGUUCCGCUAAUUCCUACUUUCUCUCUGUUGCAACAUUCAGGAAGCCACCUAUGCAUGAGAGGGUGGAGACCACAUCUCAUCCUCUUUAGUAAUAAUGACAGCAACAAGAGUUACCAGUGAGGGCCCUGUACCUGCUCAGUGCUCUACCAGCAGCCCUAAGAGGUGUUACUGUUCUUGUUUUCAGAUGAGAACAUGAAAAAGUAAUUUACUAAAUAUGAGACUAGCUGAAGGCCAUGCUUUCAGACUACCACAGUGAUGUAUCACCUCUGGUUCAACUGUAAUUCCUAGUGCACAGCAGUGGUCAAAAGUGCG